Molecule: unclassified non-coding RNA, 21 nt
Filed under: Dictyostelium discoideum
Lineage: Eukaryota; Evosea; Eumycetozoa; Dictyosteliales; Dictyosteliaceae
Source: RNAcentral
UACUCUGGUCGAUGAUUUGUG